GAGGGUAUAACUCAGUGGUAGAGCACAAGCUUAGCAUGCAUGAGGUCCUGGGUUCAAUCCCAGUAUCUCCA
Molecule: transfer RNA, 71 nt
Filed under: Camelus bactrianus (Bactrian camel)
Lineage: Eukaryota; Metazoa; Chordata; Mammalia; Artiodactyla; Camelidae
Also listed under: 3 other names
Rfam family: tRNA
About the family: Transfer RNA (tRNA) molecules are approximately 80 nucleotides in length. Their secondary structure includes four short double-helical elements and three loops (D, anti-codon, and T loops).
Source: Rfam by way of RNAcentral